This 412-nucleotide transfer-messenger RNA is filed under the name Anaerolineae. RNAcentral's name for it is "JAACFF01 sp009937635 Standard tmRNA". It matches the Rfam family "transfer-messenger RNA". From Rfam's summary of the family: Bacterial tmRNA, also known as 10Sa RNA or SsrA, is named for its dual tRNA and mRNA-like properties. Its role is to liberate the mRNA from a stalled ribosome. RNAcentral also lists the same sequence under 1 other name. The record is from RNAcentral. Lineage: Bacteria; Bacillati; Chloroflexota.
GGGGAUGACAGGUUUCGACGGGGAAGGCUGGCCCUGGACUGCAAGUCGAGCACGCUUUACAUCUCGUAAAACUGGAAGCACAAGAAUACGAGCCAAACAAGAUGCUCCUUCUUACAGCACUCUCCCCAUGGCUGCGUAAGCAGUCGGAGAGUGUGAUGGUUCCUUAAACCGAACCCCGUCUGCCUAGUUCCGUUCGUUGGCCGGGAUUGGCGCAGGCGACAGAAAAGCCGACGUGCUCUGCUUCGACGUCGAUAGAAGCGGUUAAGACGUCCUUUCGGGGAUGAUCGACUAGACAGUGGCUGACCCAGUUGGCCGGGGCGCCCACUGGCGAAAAUCAAAAGGCUAACUAAGCUUGUAGAGGUUCAGAGGACGAAUUUUUCGGACGCGGGUUCGAGUCCCGCCAUCUCCACUG